Molecule: ribosomal RNA, 573 nt
Filed under: Klebsiella pneumoniae
Lineage: Bacteria; Pseudomonadati; Pseudomonadota; Gammaproteobacteria; Enterobacterales; Enterobacteriaceae
Description: bacterial SSU rRNA
Rfam family: Bacterial small subunit ribosomal RNA
Source: RNAcentral
GUCGAUUUGGAGGUUGUGCCCUUGAGGCGUGGCUUCCGGAGCUAACGCGUUAAAUCGACCGCCUGGGGAGUACGGCCGCAAGGUUAAAACUCAAAUGAAUUGACGGGGGCCCGCACAAGCGGUGGAGCAUGUGGUUUAAUUCGAUGCAACGCGAAGAACCUUACCUGGUCUUGACAUCCACAGAACUUUCCAGAGAUGGAUUGGUGCCUUCGGGAACUGUGAGACAGGUGCUGCAUGGCUGUCGUCAGCUCGUGUUGUGAAAUGUUGGGUUAAGUCCCGCAACGAGCGCAACCCUUAUCCUUUGUUGCCAGCGGUUCGGCCGGGAACUCAAAGGAGACUGCCAGUGAUAAACUGGAGGAAGGUGGGGAUGACGUCAAGUCAUCAUGGCCCUUACGACCAGGGCUACACACGUGCUACAAUGGCAUAUACAAAGAGAAGCGACCUCGCGAGAGCAAGCGGACCUCAUAAAGUAUGUCGUAGUCCGGAUUGGAGUCUGCAACUCGACUCCAUGAAGUCGGAAUCGCUAGUAAUCGUAGAUCAGAAUGCUACGGUGAAUACGUUCCCGGGCCUUGU